GACGAACGCUGGCGGCGUGCUUAACACAUGCAAGUCGAACGGAAAGGCCCUGCUUUUGUGGGGUGCUCGAGUGGCGAACGGGUGAGUAACACGUGAGUAACCUGCCCUUGACUUUGGGAUAACUUCAGGAAACUGGGGCUAAUACCGGAUAGGAGCUCCUGCUGCACGGUGGGGGUUGGAAAGUUUCGGCGGUUGGGGAUGGACUCGCGGCUUAUCAGCUUGUUGGUGGGGUAGUGGCUUACCAAGGCUUUGACGGGUAGCCGGCCUGAGAGGGUGACCGGCCACAUUGGGACUGAGAUACGGCCCAGACUCCUACGGGAGGCAGCAGUGGGGAAUAUUGCACAAUGGGCGGAAGCCUGAUGCAGCAACGCCGCGUGCGGGAUGACGGCCUUCGGGUUGUAAACCGCUUUCGCCUGUGACGAAGCGCGAGUGACGGUAAUGGGUAAAGAAGCACCGGCUAACUACGUG
RNAcentral lists this ribosomal RNA (468 nucleotides) under uncultured bacterium. Its description in RNAcentral is "partial 16S ribosomal RNA". It matches the Rfam family "Bacterial small subunit ribosomal RNA", at positions 28 to 507 of the family's 1533-position model. The record is from RNAcentral.